AUGCCUUUUGGUUUAUGUAAUGCACCUGCUACCUUUCAAAGAUGCAUGAUGGCUAUAUUCUCUGACUUUUGUGAAAAGAUUUGUGAGGUUUUCAUGGACGAUUUCUCCGUUUAUGGAUCCUCUUUUGAUGAUUGCUUGAGCAACCUUGAUCGGGUUUUGCAGAGAUGUGAAGAAACUAAUCUUGUCUUGAAUUCGGAAAAGUGCCACUUUAUGGUUAAUGAAGGCAUUGCCUUGGGGCACAAAGUUUCUGAAAGAGGUAUUGAAGUUGACAAAGCCAAGGUUGAUGCUAUUGAAAAGAUGCCAUGUCCCAAGGACAUCAAAGGUAUAAGAAGUUUCCUGGGUCACGCCGGUUUUUAUCGGAGGUUCAUUAAGGACUUCUAA
This 381-nucleotide ribosomal RNA is filed under the name Triticum aestivum (bread wheat). Its description in RNAcentral is "partial small subunit ribosomal RNA". Lineage: Eukaryota; Viridiplantae; Streptophyta; Magnoliopsida; Poales; Poaceae. The record is from RNAcentral.